This 1295-nucleotide long non-coding RNA is filed under the name Homo sapiens (human). Its description in RNAcentral is "HSALNT0338095". Lineage: Eukaryota; Metazoa; Chordata; Mammalia; Primates; Hominidae. The record is from RNAcentral.
GGGCUCUUGAGCUGCUUCGUUGAUCGAGCCAACUCUCACUCUAUAGAGUGUACUUUCACUUCAAUAAACCUGCACUUUCGUUGCUUCCUUCCUUUGUUGCUUUGUGCAUUUUAUUAAAUCCUUUGUCCAACACGCCAAGAACCUGGACAACUCACAGUCACGACUUCCUAUCUGGUAACACUCAUUCCUUUGCAAAAUGUUUCUUGAUCUCUGUUAAAAGGCAAGUACAUGGUAAGGUGCUCUUAUUCAUGUACUCCUCCAGGUGAAUGAUUUGAUGUCUUCCCUUCCUAAAACCAGGUUUUUAUGGGAGAGGAAGAAGUGGGGAGUAUGAAGACCCCAGGAAAAGAGUUUUUAAAGAGGAGGAGAUCCAAUUUCACACCUUUGAGUAGUCCAGCUCUGGAAUCCAGUACAGGAUUUUUGGAAGAUUCACCAAGAUCCAUCUUUCCUUUUCCUGCUAUUCUUUCCAAAUAGGUAAAGAAGUAGCUGAGGGAAACGCAGCUUUGUGAGGGAAGCCUGGAGCGUGAGAAAUCUGCUCACACUGGAUUCUGCCUCGGGCUCGACAGAAUGUCACAGCAGACCCGCGAUGUGACAGGCUCACUGGUGUACACACGGCUGUGUCGGCCAUGGCCCUGUCAGAUUACCUGGCACUUGUCCAGUCUUUCUGCAGUCAACAUCGCCCAGAUUCCAUGCAGAACCCUUUGCAGACUCCUGAGGAGGUACAGACAAGGAGUGUCCCUGUCCUCAUGGUGCUACAUGAAAAGGGAUCAGGACAGCAUAGUGUGUCCUCUGUCUUGAGAAGUUCGCAUCCAGCUCUGCCAUGGACCAGCCAUGCUCAUGGAUUGCCUCUCAUUUUGCUACGGACAGGAGACAGGAAAAUACUGGGUAGAAGAGGGCGGUUCCCGACAAAGGCCCCAACCUCAAGCCUGAAGACCCACGACCCUAAAUGAGGACAGCCAUUUCUGAUUUUGUGCCCAAAAAUUUGCCUUUUGGCCUGCCACACCCAACAUCUUGCCCCUAUAUAAACCCGAGACCUUAGCGGGCACACACACAAUCAGCCAAAUGUUGGGAUUAGCAGACCAGUGGACCAGCGGACCAGCAGACCAGUUAACGGUGGAACAACGCAGCAGAGAAAGAGAGAAGAGGAGGGAUGUCUGAAUGCCAAGGGGAAUUCGGCCGCGGGCAGUUAGAAAAGUCUGGCUGCUGGGCGGCCCGACUCUAGGGGAAGACCACCUUCCCACUCCAUCCCCUGUUCUGGCUCCCCAUCCAUCUCCCUGAGAGCCACCUCUACCACUCAA